This is a long non-coding RNA of Raphanus sativus (radish), 1431 nucleotides long. RefSeq lists it as uncharacterized. The transcript is spliced from 2 exons. The record is from RefSeq and is a predicted model, not a curated record. NCBI's taxonomy places the organism in Eukaryota, Viridiplantae, Streptophyta, Magnoliopsida, Brassicales, Brassicaceae.
GUAAACUAUUAAAGGGGAAGUACAGAUUGUAUUUGGCCCUAACUUUUCUUCAAUAUUUAAUUUUUUAUGCCACUGGUAUUAAACACAGUCGUUUUAUAACAUUAAAAAUCAUCUAACUUAAUUUGAUUCUUCUAAACGUGAAAUAACUCGAAACAUGGGUUAAGCUUUCGAUCUCUCUUUUAUCUCUUUUUAUCUUUCAGAGAAAGUCGCCGAUUCUCGUGACAAAAAAAAAAGUCGCUGAUUCUUUUCCGGCAUCUGUCUCCCACGAUGGUCAGUCUCCGCCUCUAGCAAACGGUGGCUUUUACAGCACCGAUUUAGCCCGCUUCAGAGUCUAGCUUUAUUGUUGCUCUUCACUGAUGGUGACGGCUGGCUUUUCACCGUUUUUUUCAGUUUUCUUUUUCUUUAGUUUCGUUUGAUUUUUCUUUUGAUAUUCGCUCUUCCGACUUUGAUUUUGGUUCAGUUGAAAUUUGAUUCUCAGAUUUGAUAAUUUGAUUCCCCUAUCACUGGCACUUAAAAGGUGAAUAGUGCUUGCCUAAGUGGUUUGGAAGCUAUUAGAUGUGUUUGGAUCCUGGUGGCUUGGACUGACUCAAGAAUUUUUCCCCUUCGUCGGAAGUGUUUGUCUCGACAGCUUCUCAAUCACUUCUGAUUUCUGAAUUAAGCUAUGUUGGUUGCUCUUCAUCCGAUGAGAUUGGUCUCCGGUGAUUCCCAAGCUCCGGCUUGAAUUCUCCGUGCACGUUUGCGAGGUGGCAGGAGUGCCAGUGCUAUGUUGCGUCGAGAAGCUGCGUUGUAUGUGAUCAUCUCUCUUUGAUCUGGAAAGUUUGAGUCUUUUUAAGUUAUCUUAGCUAUAUUCUGUUUCAUAUUGGAAUAUGACAAGUAGCUUCCUCUGUCUGCAAGAUAGAGCUUUACUAUGUUGGGAAUGAGAUGUCGGAAUCCACACUCUGAACCGUCAUGUUUCAGUUCACCAUAGAUUUCUUCUGAAUGGGAUCAGUGUUGGUUUUGAAUCUACAGAAACAUCACCUUCUGAAAAGUUCUCACCACCAUCCAGGGAUAUGAAACUAUGGAGACCAAAUAGUUUACCUUACUUACCUACACAUGAGCCUUCAAUGGACUUUAAUCAUCACAUCAGGGGUUUUUACCAGAAACUAAAAUCAUUGAUCACAUCUCAGUGUUUAUUCUGGAGAUUUCUUCUUCAAUUCCUUUUACUGGUUCAUCCCUGAAGAAGAGGGUUGAGAAACGGCGGCAGGAACGGUUCUAACAACUGCAACUAUCUCUUGGCCGAGAAAAACUGGAAGUCAGUUUUGUUACAGUGUAUCUUGUGAUUCUGUACUUUAAGAGAAAUAUUUUCUCAGCUGGAGUAGUAAUGUUCAGAUCAUUUAACAUCCGAAUAAGUUAAACACUGUAUAUUAAUCAUUCAAGCUUACUUACUAUCCA